RNAcentral lists this ribosomal RNA (497 nucleotides) under uncultured bacterium. Its description in RNAcentral is "partial 16S ribosomal RNA". It matches the Rfam family "Bacterial small subunit ribosomal RNA", at positions 28 to 507 of the family's 1533-position model. The record is from RNAcentral.
GAUGAACGCUGGCGGCGUGCCUAAUACAUGCAAGUCGAGCGAACAGACGAGGAGCUUGCUCCUCUGACGUUAGCGGCGGACGGGUGAGUAACACGUGGAUAACCUCCCUAUAAGACUGGGAUAACUUCGGGACACCGGAGCUAAUACCGGAUAAUAUAUUGAACCGCAUGGUUCAAUAGUGAAAGACGGUUUUGCUGUCACUUAUAGAUGGAUCCGCGCCGCAUUAGCUAGUUGGUAAGGUAACGGCUUACCAAGGCAACGAUGCGUAGCCGACCUGAGAGGGGGAACGGACACACUGGAACGGAGACAGGGUCCAGACUCCUACGGGAGGAAGCAGUAGGGAAUCUUCGGCAAGGGGCGAAAGCCUGACGGAGCAAAGCCGCGGGAGUGAGGAAGGUCUUCGGAUCGUAAAACUCUGUUAUUAGGGAAGAACAAAAGUGUAAGUAAAUAUGCACGUCUUGACGGUACCUAAUCAGAAAGCCACGGCUAACUACGUG